This 5877-nucleotide long non-coding RNA is filed under the name Homo sapiens (human). RNAcentral describes it as "HSALNT0296976". Lineage: Eukaryota; Metazoa; Chordata; Mammalia; Primates; Hominidae. The record is from RNAcentral.
CAGCCGAUUUUUAUUCUGUGCAAUAUGUGCUCAAGCUAUUCUCUUUGUAACCCUCUUUGCAAGUAUCUGAGAUCUGACCUGUUUAUCUUUCUUUUUUACUUGACUGUGGGGUAAGAACCUGCUGUUUACACUAAGUGAGGUGUGGAGCUCUCUACACAAGCCCUGCUGAGAAAAAGAAAUUCAGUCUUAACAAUUCCAACCGGAAAGGCUGUUUCAACAAUGGCACCUCGCUUGCCUCUCCUUUCAAAACUGAGUCCUAGUUUUUAUCACUUUGCAGUAGCCUCGGACACAAUACAGAGCACCAGAUGGACAUGAGGAUGUGUGAUUUUGCUCAUCGAUUCUGAAAAAGAGCCUUUCUCUGUUUGUUAUUUAGGUUGAUAUAAAUGGUGUCAGAAAACGGGACCUGAAGAAAGCUCGCUCUCAGAAGAAUCGGCGGUUCUUGACUUCGGCGUGCAGUCCUCACUUGAGCCCUCUGAGAUCCCUGCCUCAGCAGCUGGCCUUUUCGGCCCUGGAGUCUUCUCUUAGGCUGAGCUUAUCUCUUUUUGUCAGAGCAUUUUUGAUAUUAUUUGGGAUCUGGUUUGGUUAUAAGGCUGCCUUAAAUGAAGGAUCUUACAUCUCUUCUGGGAUGAUAAACGACUAUAUGUCUUUUCUGGUAAGUCCUUUCUGGUAUAAAAACAAGUGUCUUUCUGUUUGAGUGCUCUGAUUUCUACAGAAUUUGCAGUCUGUCUCUGAGCCAUGUUUUUUUUUUUUUUUUCUGGUGAAUUCUCUUUUGGUCUGCAUGCCUAAUAUUUUAUUUGAUUAAUAUGCCUGAUAACUUAAACGGUGGUGACUACCCUAAUGGCUUUCAAUUAGUCAUCCUGCAUCCACUAUUGAGUAUUUUUUGCUUCUUUGUUUUUUUGUUUUGUUUUGUUUUGCUUGGCUCUCGGAAGAUUUUCAGAAACAAGCAAGGGGAAAGAGCCAAAUCAGGUGCUUGUCGUCCAAAUAAAACUAAGAUAAAAGUGUUCACAAACAUUUUAACCUAGGCAUGUUAAUCCUAGAGAAGACUACACGGCCAAAAAGGCGAGCUGCUGAGGGAGGAAUCUCAGAGAACUUUACAGAAGUUUGUGUGUGUGUGUGUGUGUGUGUGUGUAAGAUUGUGAUGGCCUUUGUGCAAGGUUGUAGUUUUUGCAGAGUCUUUUGUGAUAGUUUUUGUUAUCAGGCACACAAGCAUGCAAACCUGCUCUUCAGAGCCUUUUCCAACCCUAUUCGUCAAGUUUUUUUUUUUUAAUACUGGUGACUCUAUUUUGAUUCUGACAACUUUCACAUUUCCCACCUUUGAUCAAGAUCUUUCUCUGAAAGCAUCACUGAUUAUCCUGUAGUUGGAUGUGACGGCCCUUGGUCCCAGUUGCUUGUCUCAUCCCACCUUGUGGGGAGUGAAUGUCGGCUAAGAGUCAGUGUCAAAACCCUUUCAGCCACAUUUGAACAAUAAGGGAGAUUUGAAGAAAGUGGUUCUCAUGCUAAUUCUACCUAGAGUCUAUUAUUAAGUUCAAUUUUGUCUGUUCCAUAGUCUUUUGUUAUCAUCUCAAAGUGCUGGGCUAGUAUUAUCCUAUUAGGGUUGUGUUUCUGCAAAAAUUUUAAUAAGUAAUAGAUACAAAGUUUUUGUUUGGUUUUGAGAUGGGGUCUCUGUCACCCAGGUUGGAGUACAGUAGUAGUGUGAUCCGGGGUCACUGCAACUUCUGCCUCCCAGGCUCAAGCAGUCCUCCCACCUCAGCCCCUGGAGUAGCUGGGACCACAGGGCUUGCAGAUACAAAGUUUAAAAAGGGAAAAUACAAAGUAAAAAUAUCAAGGCUUCAGUGAGCCAUGACCCAUGGUGCCACUGCACUCCAGCCUGGGUGACCGUGUGAGACCCUGUCUCAGACAACAACAACCAACGGCAGCAACAAAGUAAAAAUAAUAGUAGUAUGAAAAUCCCAGUUUAAAUAAUGGUAUUGAGCCAUACACUGAGGCUUAAAGAUAAACAAUUGAAGACAUCAAAUGAUGAGAGAGAAUUAAGUGAGAGCUGUUAUUACCAUGUGGCCUGUUUUCCUAUUUAACCAAUGGAUAUUAAAGGAUCUCUUAGUCAAGUUUCCAGCAGGAGCUACUGAUUAUGAAAUUUCAAUUACAUUAUUAUCUUGCCAAGUGAAAAAGUAGGCAUUAAAAGGGGUAAGAGUCUCAUGAUGUGGAGUCUUUCGAUGUCUUAAGAAAAGCAUGAAAACAUCAACUCUCCUGGUUUGCAGUCUGAACAUCUCUGGUCAUGACAUUAGGCAGCAUGAUGGAUUUCUUGUUUGGCCCAUACAUCAGGUAUGAGACUUGUUCCUUUCUAUCUUAUUUCACUAGUAUUAAAGAAAAAAAAACACUUGACAAAUAGGGUUGGGGAAGGCUAUGAAGAGUGGGUUCGCUUGCUUGUGUACCUGAUAACAAAAAAUAUCACAAAAGACUGUAAAAACCACAACCUUGCAUGAAGGCCACACAAUCUUAUACACACACACACACACACACACACACACACACACACAAAUACUUCUGUAAAGACAUCUGCCCAGUAAUUGCUUGUCCAACCUUGUACUGGCAUCACCCUUUCUAUUGAUCUUUGUAGCAAGGAUAAUUAUCUCCAAACAAUUAUGUAAUCCAUCUCAUUUUUCCUUUAAAAAUUUUUGUCUUUCUUUACCUCUCUUAGUAUGCACAUAGUUUACUAUGGCACACAUAUUUCCAUUGCAAUGCCUUACUCCUGAGUACAUAUCAUUUUUAUUUUAGAGAGCCCCUCUUCUGUUUGUUAUUUAAGUUGACAAGUGCUGAGAUUGAAGAGCUGACAAAAGAAAGAUGUUAGUCUGAAUUUGAACUUUCAAGUUCAUAUUCAACCAAUUCAGGCCUGGUUACGUAUGUCCCAAAACCUUACCUCAUUCACCAUUGUAAUGGCCAAACCAUGAGUCUCCCAUAAAUAGUGGAGUCUUUUGGAUCCAGUAAGAAGUUUAUAUAAGAUUUGAAGCUGAUAAAUCCUAAAGUGACCUCUUCCAAAAUCUAUUAAUUCAUGGCCUCUGAAGCUUAGCCAAAAUCUUUGUUACUAUUACUUCCCCUACCAGGAACAUGUGGAUACAGCCUACAUUGACCCAGACAUGAAACAGAUAGAACUACUCAUUCAUUCGACACAUAUUUGUGAGUUAUAUCCCAGGCACUUUUCGAGGUCCUGGGGAAAUAACAAUGAACUAAGUAAAGUUCUAGACUCCAUAUAGCCUCUCUUCCAAUUUAAAUCAACAAUUAAUCGAUAGAGGCUAGAGAGAAGCCAAAUGGGAUCAGAAAUGGUGCUUUAAAAGACAUUCAUUCAGCAAAAAAUCACCCAGAAGUUUAGAUAAUCUCUUUUGCAUCUCAUCUCAACCACUCAAUCCCAGGUGUGGCCACAAAUAGGCCUAGCACAAGUAUAACAAGUGUUAAAGGGAGAGGGACAUUAUUUAUCUGAACCUACAACUUUAUCUUAGAUAAAGAUGGAUUAAUUAUAAUAUAAUGCUGACACCAAUUGCAGUGAAAAAAUUUCCCCCAGAGAGUCCCCCAUUUGCAGGUACUGUUUAUUAAUAGAUUGUCUAUGGAGGAGGGAUUUUAGCUGUAAAAUUUGCAAAUAAGACAUUUCCCAGGGAGUGUUUCAGAUUGGAAGUUUCCAGCAGUUAGUGUCUAACCAUGCAAGUGGAAUAGAGAGGUCUCUAAACUAAAACUGAGAAAGUAUUCUUUGGGCGUUGGCCAGUAGAAGUUCACUGGUGACAUAGGAAAGAACAGUUUCAGCCAAGAGCUGGAAGGAAUGAUACCAACAUUGUCUUUGUCUUUGGUGGAUUUCUAAGUCCCCAAAUGGAAGUUGAUGAUAAUCUACGGUUCUCCUUUGUGAAAUGUCUCAGCAACUUGAAAGAAAGAAUCUCUACAUAAAUCUAGCACUCUGUUGUUGCUUAGUCACUGUCAACCUGUUUUAUUUUGUUGGUUUGAGUUACCUUAAUGUUUCCUCGUUAUAAAUAGAUAAGUUCAACCGACAUCAAGAUCUCUGACUGCAGUAGGAUUCUGUGGGGAAUCUGGAAGCACUACCAUUUAGCACAUUACUAAGACGUAACACAUGCCCCAUCCCCUGUCAGACCUCUGAUUUGUGCAUCGAAUCCCCAGAAUCCCCAGAACAAUAAUAGACUUUACUUUGUGAUUCCUCUGGUGACACAUUUCUUUUAGUUCUUCUGGCAGAGCUGGAGACUCGCACGACAAAUUCACUCUGACGUUGUUUUCUAAUUAGGUGCCUUGACACAGCAGGCAUUCCAGUCUCCAACAUUUCUUUUGUUUCUCUAAUGUGCCAGAAAGCUGUCUGCUUUUUAGCUGCCUGACCUUUCAGAAAUGUUACCUGCCCUGUAAAAUGAGAUAACACAUGGAAGGCACCUGGCUCAGUCCGUGGCACCUGAGAGAUUCUUGAGAAGUGUUCAUUCCAUUGCCCUGUUUCCUCUCUCCGCCUUCAUACCUUCUGGUGCUUUAGUGAACCUCAAAGAUAAAAAUAUUCCCGUUGUAAGGUUUACAUUUUUCUUCAUCCCAAAAUAGAACUCAGUAACUCUAUAAGCAGAUACUAUAUGGAUUCCACAUUUCAUUUCCUCUUAUUCUCACAGGGUACCUUACAAGUUAGAAAUUUGUAUUGUCUCUGCUUUUUGGAGAAAGGAAUCUUAACUUUUCUCAAGUAACCGAGGUUGCAGAGUGGGUCAAUAAGGAACGUGGGACAAGAACCCGCAUGCGCCUCUCUCCAAAAGUCUUCAUCCUCAACCCCUGCACCAGACUGUCUUCCACACAUGGGCUCUGAGCGGCCAGCACUGGAUCUGGAGAAGCCACCACCCUGUCCUGUCCUCCAGGCAGAACGGAAGUGUGCCUGACCCCAGCUGUAAGCACCCGCCCUCUGUGGCCCGGAAAGAAUCCAGUCGCAGGGCUUGGCCCUUCCCCAUCCCCUCCUCUGGGCAGCCCGCGUUGAGUCCCAUCUGGAACGUGGAGGAAGAAGGCCCUGUAGCAAACGCACAGCUAGACCCCCUCCCUCCCUGCCAGGCCUCCCUCGCCAACUCCAUGCCCAAUUUCAGCCCUGAGGGGCGAGAACAGCAGGUGCUCGGGCCGCCUUCGCCCUUGGUGUUCUGGGAGCCCAUUGUCUAAUUUUGCUCGGGCCUGGCCUGCUUCCUUUUUAGUCCUGCGCAUGUGGGCAGAGUACAAGCUAAUUGGCAGGGCUGUUCCAAAUCCUAAAGAACGCGCGCGCUGCCUGCUCGCCAGCGGGAGGGCCGUGUGCCCAGCUUGCGCCCUGACAUUUUCCGAGGCCUGGGCGAGGCCACCUGCCUGACGAAGGCUUACCAGGGAAAAUCAGGUCCUGACAGCCUGACAGGGACAACCGCCCAGAGGAUUCAUCUGCUCGCGAUGCCUGGUCAGCAAGGAGGAGACUCGACCUGGGACGAGGAAGAGGCCUUGAAGGGACAGAGGAGAGCGCAUCCUCCAUCCCCCGGCCAGGGAGAAGUCACGCGGACCCCCAGGUUGCUGGGCCGCGAUGGGGGGAAGAGGAGACCACCCCCAGCUCCGCAGCGAGCGCCCUCACUUCGGGGAGACAGAGGCGUCGAUCCCUCCUGCGGACGGCUGGGGGCGCUGCGCUUCAACCGAAGGCAGAGAUCCUGGACCGGGGCGAGGCAAGCCCUCCCGGAGGAGAGGAGCUCUGAAGGGGGAAAACAGCUCUGCAGAGUGUAGAGGAGCCGGACUUUGCAGCCAGGUACCUCUGUGCAAGUCUCAGCUGUGCCUCUGAAGUAGCUAGCCGUUGCCCAGCACUGUGCUAAGGUCUUUUCAUCACUGUGUAAUUGAAGGCUCACAGCCACCCUUUAAGGAAAA